Molecule: ribosomal RNA, 627 nt
Filed under: Monopterus albus (swamp eel)
Lineage: Eukaryota; Metazoa; Chordata; Actinopteri; Synbranchiformes; Synbranchidae
Description: partial 16S ribosomal RNA
Rfam family: Bacterial large subunit ribosomal RNA (bases 243-627)
Source: RNAcentral
AGAGUCAAAGCUACUCCCUUACACUGAGAAGAUGUUUGUGCAAGUCAAACCGUUUUGUUGCCAAUUAGCUAGCUUUUAACCAAAAACAACAAACAAUUAAUAAUACCCCCACAUUAAUUACCCCUAACAAUCAAAUCAUUUUACCCAUUUAGUAUGUGCGACAGAAAAAUAAGUCUCAAGCGAUAGAAAAAGUACCGUAAGGGAAAGCUGAAAAAGAAGUGAAAUAAAUCAGUCAAGCAAAAAAAAGCAGAGACUACACCUCGUACCUUUUGCAUCAUGAAUUAGUAAGACACCCCAAGCAAAACGACCUAUAGUUUGACCCCCCGAAACUAAGUGAGCUACUCCGAGACAGCCUAUAAAUUAGGGCACACCCGUCUCUGUGGCAAAAGAGUGGGAAGAGCUCCGAGUAGAGGUGAUAGAUCUACCGAACUUAGUUAUAGCUGGUUGCCUGAGAACUGAAUAUAAGUUCAGCCUCCCGGCUUCUCCACACACUAUUACACCCACACCCUCAACCCCCGGAUAGUCACUAAAGAAUACCGAGAGCGUGAGUUAAAGGAGGAACAGCUCCUUUAACAUAAGACACAACUUUACCAGAAGGAUAAAGAUCAUAAUCCCCAAAGUAUUCCU